UGCUUUGCUGUCGUGCGCCGAGAGCACUCGCUUUCAUGCUACUGUGCUCCUCUCCGGAACUACCUCCUUUUAAGGAAUAGAAGAAUUUGACUAGAUCCGUGUUAAUUAAUGAUGAGAUUGAAUAGAGCAAACCCAAAUUUAAUACGGUCUUAUCCAUUGCCCUAAAUAUUGUUUUUCUGAUUAAAAAGAAAAAGAAAUUUUAUUUGG
Molecule: unclassified non-coding RNA, 207 nt
Filed under: Hevea brasiliensis (rubber tree)
Lineage: Eukaryota; Viridiplantae; Streptophyta; Magnoliopsida; Malpighiales; Euphorbiaceae
Source: RNAcentral